AACUUUUGACAAUGGGCGCAAGCCUGAUCCAGCCAUGCCGCGCGAGUGAAGAAGGCCUUCGGGUUGUAAAGCUCUUUCUGUCGGAAAGAAAUCGUGCAGGCUAAUACCCUGCGCGUAUGACUGUACCGUCAUAAGAAGCACCGGCUAACUACGCGCCAGCACCCGAGGUAACACGUAGCGUGCGCGCGUUAAUCGGAAUUACGGGGCGUAAAGCGUACGCAGGCGGUUGAUUAAGACAGGCGUGAAAUCCACAGGCUUAACCUGGGAACUGCGCUUGUGACUGGUCAGCUAGAGUACGGCAGAGGGGGGUGGAAUUCCACGUGUAGCAGUGAAAUGCGUAGAGAUGUGGAGGAACAACGAUGGCGAAGGCAGCCCCCUGGGCCGAUACUGACGCUCAUGCACGAAAGCGUGAGUAGCAAACAGG
RNAcentral lists this ribosomal RNA (424 nucleotides) under uncultured bacterium. RNAcentral describes it as "partial 16S ribosomal RNA". It matches the Rfam family "Bacterial small subunit ribosomal RNA", at positions 359 to 776 of the family's 1533-position model. The record is from RNAcentral.